GGGGUUGUAGCUCAGUGGUAGAGUGCUUGCCUCUCAUGCAUGAGACCCUGGGUUUGAUCCCCAGCACCA
Molecule: transfer RNA, 69 nt
Filed under: Urocitellus parryii (Arctic ground squirrel)
Lineage: Eukaryota; Metazoa; Chordata; Mammalia; Rodentia; Sciuridae
Also listed under: 1 other name
Description: Spermophilus parryii (Arctic ground squirrel) tRNA
Rfam family: tRNA
About the family: Transfer RNA (tRNA) molecules are approximately 80 nucleotides in length. Their secondary structure includes four short double-helical elements and three loops (D, anti-codon, and T loops).
Source: Rfam by way of RNAcentral